GCACUCGUAGCUCAGCUGGAUAGAGCAAUCGCCUUCUAAGCGAUAGGUCGAAGGUUCGAAUCCUUCCGAGUGCGCCA
Molecule: transfer RNA, 77 nt
Filed under: Halobacteriovorax sp.
Lineage: Bacteria; Pseudomonadati; Bdellovibrionota; Bacteriovoracia; Bacteriovoracales; Halobacteriovoraceae
Also listed under: 1 other name
Description: tRNA-Arg
Rfam family: tRNA
About the family: Transfer RNA (tRNA) molecules are approximately 80 nucleotides in length.
Source: RNAcentral